UACGUAGGGUGCUAGCGUUGUUCGGAAUCACUGGGCGUAAAGCGCACGUAGGCGGAUGUGUCAGUCAGGGGUGAAAUCCCGGAGCUCAACUCCGGAACUGCCUCUGAUACAGCACGUCUUGAGUCCGAUAGAGGUGGGUGGAAUUCCUAGUGUAGAGGUGAAAUUCGUAGAUAUUAGGAAGAACACCGGUGGCGAAGGCGGCCCACUGGAUCGGUACUGACGCUGAGGCACGAAAGCUAGGGGAGCAAACGGG
RNAcentral lists this ribosomal RNA (253 nucleotides) under uncultured bacterium. RNAcentral's name for it is "partial 16S ribosomal RNA". It matches the Rfam family "Bacterial small subunit ribosomal RNA", at positions 524 to 776 of the family's 1533-position model. The record is from RNAcentral.